Molecule: non-coding RNA, 21 nt
Filed under: Caenorhabditis elegans
Lineage: Eukaryota; Metazoa; Nematoda; Chromadorea; Rhabditida; Rhabditidae
Source: RNAcentral
UCUCAGAAUUCCAGAUGUGUU